GGCGGCCCCCAGCCCGCGCCCGGAGCCGCCAAUCCCUCUCUCUCUCUGGCUGGUCCCGCAGCUCGCCUUCUUGGUGGCUCUCCCAGGCUGGGGACGUAGCACCUGGCUGAGCUGCGUGGCCUCAGCGAAUUACGAAGAGGUAGCGGGUCGGAAUAAACGUGCGCGUGCCGUAAAUCAGCUCUGGGUCCCAGGGACAGAUUUGGGGGUUUUCGCCCCCCUUUCCUGGUUCGGUACUUAAUUGAGCAUCUAUUAUGUAGAGACAGGGCUCGAGUAGAGGAGCGCAGCGGGCUGAGGAAAACCACGGCCUGUUUCCCAAGAGCUUUUGCCUCCCUGGACCAUCGUGAACCUGCCUCCGAGAUGCCCACGAUCGCCCUGGGUGUGGGAGAUGGUGUUCGGCCUCCCCCAACCCGUCCCCCAGGAGGCUUUGGUGCUCAGGGCCCAGGCACCGGCUUUCACUGGAGCUUCUAGCAAAUGCUUGCUCCCUGGAAUGAGUCUGUGAACACUGGUCUCACUUGCUUCGUGAAUUCUCAUCUUGAUUCUUCCAAACCACAAACCCUUCAGACGAACUCUGCAUGUUUUUCUUGACAGGAGACGUUUUCUUCCUCCUUAAAAAGAAAGAAAACAAACAACAACAACAAAACAAAUCCUCCACCACCAUCCCCAUCUCUUCCCAAAUAAAGAACCAGAAAUAAGGCCUGUGUCUUCUCUGAAACUGACAAAGGAGUCCUAUAGAGAAUUGUUUUAUAGAAUUUCUAGAACAAUUAUGUGGAUCUAUCAUAUACCAGAAGCAAGGAAAAAGUUCACCCUCACCCCGAUUCUGCUAGUUCUUCAUGACUGCAUUUGAAAGAACAAAAAGAUAGAUGCAGAUCCUAAGGAGAGAGCCACCCCAUCAUACCUCAAAAGGGCCCUGUCUGAAAC
Molecule: long non-coding RNA, 918 nt
Organism: Jaculus jaculus (lesser Egyptian jerboa)
Lineage: Eukaryota; Metazoa; Chordata; Mammalia; Rodentia; Dipodidae
Exons: 4
Source: RefSeq, a predicted model, not a curated record